Molecule: long non-coding RNA, 3127 nt
Organism: Papaver somniferum (opium poppy)
Lineage: Eukaryota; Viridiplantae; Streptophyta; Magnoliopsida; Ranunculales; Papaveraceae
Exons: 9
Source: RefSeq, a predicted model, not a curated record
UUCAUCAUGAUGAAAAUGAUGAUCACUAAAAAAAAUUAAAUCUAUUUUUCUUUUUUCUCUUAUUCAUCGCAUCGUGAUGAAGAUGGUAAUCAUAAAGAAAACCUAAAUUUAUCAUUAUUCUUCCUCUUUUCUUCUUCUCCAUCGCAUCGCGAUGAAAUUGAUGAUCAUAAAAAGAAAAAACUAAAAAAAAACCACCGUCAAUUUAGUUUUUGAUAGUAAAAAAACUCGAUUCGGUUAAACCAGAGUUAAAAAAAUCUGAAAGUGUUUACGGUUGGUAGUUCUUAGUUUCCCAACCGUUAGUCACAUACUACGUCUGAGAGAAUAGGAAAUCCUAACGGUAAAUUUGGUUUACGGUGAGGGGAAUACAACAGUAAGAUGUUGUUUACGAUUAGGUAUGCCUAGCCGUAGACGAUCCUGAUAAUCACAUAAAAAAGAAAAAACAAAGGUUUAGUUUUGGUUAGGAUUUCCCAACUGAAAAUGUUUAUUUCGGUCAGGUUUCCCAACCGUAACUUUAGCUUUCGGUUUGGAAAACCUAACCAUUACUCUUUCUGAUACUUAUAAAAAAAAAGAAGAGAAAAAACGGUCGGGAGUCUUUUAUUUCCCAGCCGUGAUUUAUGGCUGAGAUUGUUUCAAUUCCGAGUCGUAAACUUUAAUUUACGUCCGGGUGGACAAUGUUUCUCAACCGUAACUUCAAAAAAACCAGAUUUUCUCGAUUUUUGUCGGUAUCGAAUCAACAAAAUUGAUCAUUUUGUUAUAAAAGUUAGGAGUAUUCUAGCCCUUACCAAAAAUAAUUGGACAAGGGGUUAUAAAAAUUACUACCAAUGACCUAGUGAAGCCCCCAAAAACCCAUCUGUGCAGUCCCAAUAACAAGAUUCUUUUAAAAAUAAUACCAAUCAGGCCCCUGGAAUUUCUCAACAAUUAUCGGAUAGUCCCAGAAACCUAAAACGCUUUUACACAUUCUCACUUUACUGUUUAAAACGCUUGAAAGUGGAAAAUCCCAGAAACACUUCCCCUUAUAAAAAUCUUGAAACCCAUUUUCCAUCAGAACUCGAUUUGAAUCGCAGUUUAUCUUAUGAAAACCCUUGGCCGAUAUCAUUUUAAGGGUUUCCAAGUCUAUUGCCAAUUUUCAGCGCUGUAGUUUUGUGGAGAGUCUUAGACACUAUGAAUGCCACAUUGAGCAAGCUUGGGUUGCAAACCCGUAAUCUUGUUAAGAACCACAAGGAGUUGAUCUCAUAAAGUGGUGUCUACAUAUUGACUUUGUUGGGCGUCUGCUGGAUGUAACAUCGAGGAAAUCCUGUUUUCAGAACUUAUGAUUUGGUUGCUGUUAAGCCUUUGAAUCAAACUGUAUUUGAUCACGUCUGUAAAGUUUCUGAGGUGGAUUUAAUUGCUAUUGAUUAUUCGGAGAGGUUAAGCUUCCCAUGGUUAAAGCUGCAAUCGAGCGAGGGAUAUACUUCGGAAUAUCAUAUUCACAUCUUAUCUCUGAUAUUCAAGCCGGGAGGCAAAUUGUUACAAAUGCAAAGGUCAGAAUUUAGUAGUUUAAAAUUAAAAAUUUGAUUGCCCAAAUAGAAAUUGUUACACACAGACUCAGUACCACAUAAAUAAAUCUGUAACAUCUCGAUAUAUUGUAGGUGGGCAAAUUCUUUAUAACUUGUGUUUCAUGGGGACUUGUCAUAAAUCUCUCAUUGGCAUUGAUGGAUUUAAAGUUUGGGUUUAACAGUUGUUGGUUUGUUAAUAUAAAGAUUUACAUGAUUGUGUCCCAAUUCCUGAUAUUGGGUUGGUAUCAUCAUUAUCAAAGUGCAGCUAAAUUGAGUUUCAUGUUAAAUUUGCUUAAGUCAGUAGUACGUAGUAGAGCCUCUAACUUUUUGGUUAUCACAUUUUCUGUGAUAUUUGAUUUUAACAAAUCAUCAAAUCUUUUUCCAAGGAUACAUAUGUAUGACCACGAUUUCCAGCAGUUAGUGGAUUAGACAAGAGGGAAAAGUAUCAUUUCCAUAAGUCGUGCGUCCUCUGCUAAUGAACUUAGAGGACUUUAUGAUGUGGCAAAUCUGUUCCCUCUGCGUGGCCUCUCUAUGGAACGCGCAAAAGCUGUGACUUCAAAGAAUUGCAGGGCUUUAAUAGCUCGAGCACUUAGGAAAAAACAGUUCUACAAAGAAACCAUCAGGGUUGAAAAAUUCCAUCUUGUCAACAAGUAGAUACAAAGGAGCCUUGGUUUGCUGACUCCAAUAACUGGGAUGAAAUCUCCAGCAGCGAAGGAGAUAUUCAGUUGGAUGAUAUUGCAAAAAAAAUGUUGAGUACGAUAGGAUUUGAAGAUGUUGGAAUUAGAUCCAUGUAGUAAAAGUAUCGUCAAUGCAAGUAGUUAUGCAGAUGACAGACAUCUACGAAAGCUCUCCAAUCACAUUAUGUAGCUUUUGCGUCAAUUACAGCAACACCUUCAGUAUGGCAUAGCAGACUAGGCCAUCUCUCAGAUCCUAUUCUCAAGCAUCUGCAUCAGCAACCGUUCAUCAACUCCUCUUUGUCAUCAUUGUCAAGUUGAUAGAUUGCUAGCCGGUAAAACGUAAGGAAGAAUCAACUCCAACUGUGGAAAACAUGGGGAAUAGAGAAUAAGAACAAUGGAGGAAGCACAUUAUUAUGCCUUGACAUCAGGGUCAACUACUUCAUCUGUUCUUUAGAUAAGCUUUCUGACAGCAGUGUGACAAUAAAAUGUAAAGAAACAGUAUAGUUACAAGUGACAGUAGGUAUAUAAAUGUCUUUAUCUAGGAAAAUUCAAUAGCUUAGUGAAUCUAAAGACAUAGUAUAGUUACAAGUGACAUCAGAUGUAGACACUGAAUGUUAGUUAGGUCGUACUUGUAAAAUCCUGUCACAAAGGUGAGUGGUUGCUUUUGCUUAGGCUACUAAUAAGUAGUUGAUACUUGUCCAACUGGAUAUGCUAAUGCUUCUUGAAGUGCACUUAUUUGUGCAAGCUGUCUAUUUGUUUGGUGGCUUCUGUUUUACAUAUUCGCCCAGUGCAAGACAAUGGUGCCCUCAAGGUUUCUGGUGGUGGACGGCGUUGAAAGAAAAAUCAUCUCUGUAAUUUUCCGUUCUUGUCAACUAUUUCCUUCCUAAUUUUGUUGGGUUUAACAUUUUUGAGCCA